This 87-nucleotide transfer RNA is filed under the name Syntrophaceticus schinkii. Its description in RNAcentral is "tRNA-Leu". It matches the Rfam family "tRNA". From Rfam's summary of the family: Transfer RNA (tRNA) molecules are approximately 80 nucleotides in length. Their secondary structure includes four short double-helical elements and three loops (D, anti-codon, and T loops). Further hydrogen bonds mediate the characteristic L-shaped molecular structure. tRNAs have two regions of fundamental functional importance: the anti-codon, which is responsible for specific mRNA codon recognition, and the 3' end, to which the tRNAs corresponding amino acid is attached (by aminoacyl-tRNA synthetases). tRNAs cope with the degeneracy of the genetic code in two manners: having more than one tRNA (with a specific anti-codon) for a particular amino acid; and 'wobble' base-pairing, i.e. permitting non-standard base-pairing at the 3rd anti-codon position. RNAcentral also lists the same sequence under 1 other name. Lineage: Bacteria; Bacillati; Bacillota; Clostridia; Thermoanaerobacterales; Thermoanaerobacterales Family III. Incertae Sedis. The record is from RNAcentral.
GCGGAAGUGGCGGAAUUGGCAGACGCGCUAGCUUGAGGGGCUAGUGCCUGCAAAGGCGUGCGGGUUCAAGUCCCGCCUUCCGCACCA